Molecule: transfer RNA, 65 nt
Filed under: Hystrichopsylla weida qinlingensis
Lineage: Eukaryota; Metazoa; Arthropoda; Insecta; Siphonaptera; Hystrichopsyllidae
Description: tRNA-Ser
Source: RNAcentral
AGUUAAUGAGCUUGAAUAUAAGCAUAUAUUUUGAAAAUAUAAGAUAGAGUUAUUUCUAUUAACUU